This 568-nucleotide ribosomal RNA is filed under the name Pichia kluyveri. RNAcentral's name for it is "eukaryotic LSU rRNA". It matches the Rfam family "Eukaryotic large subunit ribosomal RNA", at positions 62 to 648 of the family's 3401-position model. Lineage: Eukaryota; Fungi; Ascomycota; Pichiomycetes; Pichiales; Pichiaceae. The record is from RNAcentral.
AAACCAACAGGGAUUGCCUCAGUAGCGGCGAGUGAAGCGGCAAGAGCUCAGAUUUGAAAUCUCACCUAGUGUGCGAGUUGUAAAUUGCAGGUUGGAGUCUCGGGUUAGACGUGUGUACAAGUCCCUUGGAACAGGGUGCCACUGAGGGUGAGAGCCCCGUAGCGUGCAUGUCGACACCUGUGAGGCCCUUCUGACGAGUCGAGUUGUUUGGGAAUGCAGCUCUAAGUGGGUGGUAAAUUCCAUCUAAGGCUAAAUAUUGGCGAGAGACCGAUAGCGAACAAGUACUGUGAAGGAAAGAUGAAAAGCACUUUGAAAAGAGAGUGAAACAGCACGUGAAAUUGCUGAAAGGGAAGGGUAUUGGGCUCGACAUGGGAUUUACGCAUCGUUGCCUCUCGUGGGCGGCGCUCUGGGUUUUUCCUGGGCCAGCAUCGGUUUUCGUUGCAGGAUAAGGACAAUUGGAAUGUGGCUCCUCGGAGUGUUAUAGCCUUUUGUAGAUGCUGCGUAUGGGGACCGAGGGCUGCGGCGGACUCGUUUCGUCUCGGAUGCUGGCACAACGGCGCAAUACCGC